CACGCGCCCGGGACACCAGCGUCGCGCUCACCCCUCAGAGUCUGGCAGAGAGACUGGGAAAGCCGCCAAGGACGCACGGGGCGUGCCCCCAGGGGCCUGACUCAGCCGACUUACGAAUGUCGACUGAGGAAGACCCGGAAACUGGGAGCCAUGUGAGCCAUGGCUGAUGUGGUGCAGACGACACCAAAAGCCCCUGGAGAGGCGGAGUCAGGCUGAGGGGGUGCCUUCCAGAGUCCACUGUGACACAUUUCCCCCGGGCCCUAGCUCCAGGCCCUAUCCAAACUAAUGGUCCGAAGGCGCCAUUGUCUUCAGAGGAGGCCUGAAAAGCUGGGGAACAGGAUGAGGAUGCAGCUGGAAAGACCAGAAACUCACGACUGUCCCUGCUGCUUGCUGAGAAGAUCUGAACCCCGAGGUACCCAGGAGCCUAUUAACCUACCAUAAAUGUCUGAUCCAGAGAGAGCAGGCUCCCUCCCAGCCUUGAAAGGAUAGAGGACAGUAGGACUAAGGAGGUCGAGGUCACUCAGGA
This is a long non-coding RNA of Condylura cristata (star-nosed mole), 526 nucleotides long. RefSeq lists it as uncharacterized. The record is from RefSeq and is a predicted model, not a curated record. The transcript is spliced from 4 exons. NCBI's taxonomy places the organism in Eukaryota, Metazoa, Chordata, Mammalia, Eulipotyphla, Talpidae.